This 1010-nucleotide ribosomal RNA is filed under the name Apilactobacillus kunkeei. Its description in RNAcentral is "bacterial SSU rRNA". It matches the Rfam family "Bacterial small subunit ribosomal RNA", at positions 66 to 1048 of the family's 1533-position model. Lineage: Bacteria; Bacillati; Bacillota; Bacilli; Lactobacillales; Lactobacillaceae. The record is from RNAcentral.
UCUCCAAAUUGUUUUUGCUUGCAUAAAUGAUUUUUGGUUUCGGAGCGAGUGGCGAACUGGUGAGUAACACGUGGGUAACCUGCCCCGAAGCGGGGGAUAACAUUUGGAAACAAGUGCUAAUACCGCAUAAUUAGUUGGAACCGCAUGGUUCCAACUUGAAAGAUGGCUCUGCUAUCACUUUGGGAUGGACCCGCGCCGUAUUAGUUAGUUGGUGAGAUAAAAGCCCACCAAGACAAUGAUACGUAGCCGACCUGAGAGGGUAAUCGGCCACAUUGGGACUGAAACACGGCCCAGACUCCUACGGGAGGCAGCAGUAGGGAAUCUUCCACAAUGGACGAAAGUCUGAUGGAGCAACGCCGCGUGAGUGAUGAAGGUUUUCGGAUCGUAAAACUCUGUUGUUAAAAAAAAACAAGUGUUAGAGUAACUGUUAACACUUUGACGGUAUUUAACCAGAAAGCCACGGCUAACUACGUGCCAGCAGCCGCGGUAAUACGUAGGUGGCAAGCGUUGUCCGGAUUUAUUGGGCGUAAAGCGAGCGCAGGCGGUUUUGUAAGUCUGCUGUGAAAGCCCUCAGCUCAACUGAGGAAGUGCAGUGGAAACUACAAAACUUGAGUACAGAAGAGGAAAGUGGAACUCCAUGUGUAGCGGUGAAAUGCGUAGAUAUAUGGAAGAACACCAGUGGCGAAGGCGGCUUUCUGGUCUGUUACUGACGCUGAGGCUCGAAAGCAUGGGUAGCGAACAGGAUUAGAUACCCUGGUAGUCCAUGCCGUAAACGAUGAAUACUAGGUGUUGGAGGGUUUCCGCCCUUCAGUGCCGCAGCUAACGCAUUAAGUAUUCCGCCUGGGGAGUACGACCGCAAGGUUGAAACUCAAAGGAAUUGACGGGGGCCCGCACAAGUGGUGGAGCAUGUGGUUAAUUUCGAUGCUACGCGAAGAACCUUACCACCUCUGACAUCUCUGCCAACCCAAGAAAUUGGGCGUUUCCUCGGGACAGAUGACAGGGGUGCAUGU